UCCAGGCCCUACGGGGUGCAGCAGGCGCGAAACCUCCGCAAUGUGAGAAAUCGCGACGGGGGGAUCCCAAGUGCCAUUCUUAACGGGAUGGCUUUUCAUUAGUGUAAAGAGCUUUUGGAAUAAGAGCUGGGCAAGACCGGUGCCAGCCGCCGCGGUAACACCGGCAGCUCUAGUGGUAGCAGUUUUUAUUGGGCCUAAAGCGUCCGUAGCCGGUUUAAUAAGUCUCUGGUGAAAUCCUGCAGCUUAACUGUGGGAAUUGCUGGAGAUACUAUUAGACUUAAGAUCGGGAGAGGUUAGAGGUACUCCCAGGGUAGAGGUGAAAUUCUGUAAUCCUGGGAGGACCGCCUGUUGCGAAGGCGUCUGACUGGAACGAUUCUGACGGUGAGGGACGAAAGCUAGGGGCGCGAACCGGAUUAGAUACCCGGGUAGUCCUAGCUGUAAACGAUGCGGACUUGGUGUUGGGGUGGCUUUGAGCUGUCCCAGUGCCGAAGGGAAGCUGUUAAGUCCGCCGCCUGGGAAGUACGGUCGCAAGACUGAAACUUAAAGGAAUUGGCCGGGGAGCACCACAACGCGUGGAGCCUGCGGUUUAAUUGGAGUCAACGCCGG
RNAcentral lists this ribosomal RNA (606 nucleotides) under uncultured archaeon. RNAcentral describes it as "bacterial SSU rRNA". It matches the Rfam family "Archaeal small subunit ribosomal RNA", at positions 315 to 921 of the family's 1478-position model. The record is from RNAcentral.